Molecule: microRNA precursor, 73 nt
Organism: Cercocebus atys (sooty mangabey)
Lineage: Eukaryota; Metazoa; Chordata; Mammalia; Primates; Cercopithecidae
Source: Ensembl
GGAGGCUGGGCUGGGACGGACACCGGGCCUCCACUUUGGGUGGCAGGUACCUCCUCCAUGUCGGCCCGCCUUG